ACCUUAAUUAUAUUUUUAAUCUUUAGGCUUUUUAUUUAAACAACAAAAAAUAAUUCUUAUUUAAUGCAACUUUUUAAAGACAAUAAUGUUUUUUUUUUUACUAAUUCAUUAAAUUUACACAGUAUCUUGAUUAUGAUUUUGGAUGGUAAAACAAUGAGCACUUAAAAGUAUCUCAAUAGAUGCAAAAUGGAGUUCUCAUUAUUGGUUCUCUUAAAAAAGAGUUGAAAAAUAAAUCAAAAUGGAUUAAAAGAGAGAGAGAGCUGUCUCUUUUGAGAGAGUUUUUGAGAGAGAUGAGAGACGAUGAUGUGGUGCCUUAUCAUUGGUUAAUUGUUUUUAACAAAAAAAGCAAAAAAAGCGUGAAAGCUUCUCCUGAUUCUAUCUUGAUCAUUGUUUCUAAUCAUGUCGAUGUUUUGACUUACAUUGCUUGGAAACUCUCUAAUUUUCAGGUGAAUCGAGUUCUUGGAUCUGGUAUACUAAUCUUCUCGGUUCCGAUUCUUAAUCGCAGAUCAUCUCGAUGUUAAUGCUCUAGAUGUAAAGGUCAGCUUCUAUCUAAAUUAGGGAUUUGUGUAAUAAAGCUGUGCUUUUUUU
RNAcentral lists this small RNA (588 nucleotides) under Arabidopsis thaliana (thale cress). RNAcentral's name for it is "ATSL253110". Lineage: Eukaryota; Viridiplantae; Streptophyta; Magnoliopsida; Brassicales; Brassicaceae. The record is from RNAcentral.